CAGAAUCGAAAUACGAGAGACCUUUACUCAUCUCUCUUCCAUUAAUGUCCCAGAAAAAGGGAAGAAACAAAUACAAGUCGAGAGACGCUCGCCCUAUCUCUCUCUCUCUCCUUAGCUGUUAGAUCGGACAUUAUGGCCCCCGUAACAUUGCUGAAAACCCUGAAUCCCUCCCGUUUGAAAACCUUCCUCUUGAUCUUUUCCUUUCUCCUCAUCUUCUACCUUCUCUCCCACCGCCACGCUCCUGUCUCGCAUCUCCAAAGCGCGUCCCAGUCUCCACUCACGCGCCGCCACCUUCUCUUCGCUAUCGCCUCCUCUUAUCGUUCCUGGCCUCGCCGCAAGUCCUACGUCCGACUCUGGUACUCUCCCAACUGCACGCGCGCACUCGCUUUCCUGGAUCGCGUCGCCCCCGAUGCGGCCAGUGACGACAGCGUCCCUCCGGUUGUCGUCUCCGAAGACACCUCCAAAUUCCCUUACACAUUCCCGAGGGGCCUCCGAUCGGCGAUACGCGUGGCGCGCGUGGUGAAGGAGGUCGUCGAUCGCGACGAGAAGGACGUUAGGUGGUAUGUGUUCGGAGACGACGACACGGUCUUCGUCGUGGACAAUCUGGUCAAAACCCUGGCGAAGUACGACCACGGGCGGUGGUUUUACAUAGGUAGCAACUCGGAGGGCUACUAUCAGAACGUGAAGAACUCCUUUGAGAUGGCAUAUGGUGGUGGAGGCUUCGCAAUAAGCUAUUCGCUCGCAAGAGUUUUGGCCAGGGUUCUCGAUUCGUGCUUGGUGAGGUACGCGCACUUGUACGGAAGUGAUUCUAGGAUAUUUUCGUGCUUGGCGGAACUCGGUGUCGGAUUAACCCAUGAACCUGGGUUUCAUCAGGUUGACAUGAGGGGGAAUUUGUUCGGUUUGCUGUCUUCACAUCCAUUAGCUCCUUUAGUAUCCCUUCAUCAUUUGGAUGCUGUGGACCCAAUCUUCCCUAACAUGAGCAGGACUCUAGCAAUGGGGCAUCUUUUUGAAGCCGUGAAUGUUGAUCCUGGCAGGAUAUUGCAACAAACUGUCUGCUAUGACCCUUCAAAUUCAUUGACUGUUUCAGUUGCAUGGGGUUAUGCGAUCCAGGUGUUCGAGGGUAAUGAAUAUCUCCCAGAUCUCCUUCUACCGCAGAAAACUUUUAUGCCGUGGAAGAGGGGAGUCUCUAUUGAUGCAAGUCGUUACAUGUUUAGGACAAGAGAAUAUCCGAAAGAUGCAUGUAAAAGACCUCUUAUCUUCUUUCUGGAAAGUGUGAUACCCGAUAAAGGUGGUGUCUGGAGCUACUACACUGGGCACAUGGUUGGAGAGUGUGACAGACCUAAUGCAAUAAAGAACUUGACACGUGUCAAAGUGUUUUCUAAGAUGCUUGAGCUUGAUAUGGAACAGAUGAAGGCUCCUUGUCGUCAUUGCUGUGACAUUUUGCCCUCUUUUAAUGAAUCUAUGGUCAUUAAACUUAGACAAUGCGGAGUUGAUGAACUAAUUUCCAUGCAUGUCUAGCAUUUUAUGUGGAGAGAACUUUUAAAGUACAUGCAGAGGUUAGAAAGUUCUGAAGCAGUUUCUGGUCUCUUUAUUUAACUUUUGGCAUGCGAACUGCGAGGGUAUGUACCCACUCUCUCCAGCACUGGGGAGGCCCUGGAUAUGGCGGAUUGGCGCCUUCCCGAUGCUGGAUCUUAGAUCUGACGCUGGGAAGGUGCGGCACCAGGGAAGCAGUCCAGCGCUGGAGUGUCUGGUAGUCAGAUCCAGCAGAGUAUUGCGGCAACACCGGUGUCAAAAAAUUUUCUGGUCACCAGGAACGUGUCGAUGAUUUUUCCAGAUGUAAAGAAAGAAUGUCACAUGCCAAAGAUGAUGGAUGACAAAUAAGUGAAAUGAAAUGUGCAACAUCUCUCAUCGAUUGCAGCGUAAUUGUGAUUACUCCCUAUCAGACUCCGCCCUACAGAAACAUGUGAUGAUGCAUCACAUGAUGGGUUUGGGUCCAUAUCAUGGACUAAAGAUUCAAUAAUUUUAAUUGGGUUAUCUUUUGUGAAA
Carya illinoinensis is the source of this 2046-nucleotide RNA transcript. RefSeq lists it as uncharacterized. The record is from RefSeq and is a predicted model, not a curated record. NCBI's taxonomy places the organism in Eukaryota, Viridiplantae, Streptophyta, Magnoliopsida, Fagales, Juglandaceae. The transcript is spliced from 4 exons.